Molecule: ribosomal RNA, 791 nt
Filed under: uncultured archaeon
Lineage: Archaea
Description: bacterial SSU rRNA
Rfam family: Archaeal small subunit ribosomal RNA
Source: RNAcentral
ACGGCUCAGUAACACGUAGUCAACAUGCCCAGGGGACGUGGAUAACCUCGGGAAACUGAGGAUAAACCGCGAUAAGUCACUGCUUCUGGAAUGGGCAAUGACUUAAAUCUAUAUGGCCCCUGGAUUGGACUGCGGCCGAUCAGGCUGUUGGUGAGGUAAUGGCCCACCAAACCUGUAACCGGUACGGGCUCUGAGAGGAGGAGCCCGGAGAUGGGCACUGAGACAAGGGCCCAGGCCCUAUGGGGCGCAGCAGGCGCGAAACCUCUGCAAUAGGCGAAAGCCUGACAGGGUUACUCUGAGUGAUUUCCGUUAAGGAGAUCUUUUGGCACCUCUAAAAAUGGUGCAGAAUAAGGGGUGGGCAAGUCUGGUGUCAGCCGCCGCGGUAAUACCAGCACCCCGAGUGGUCGGGACGUUUAUUGGGCCUAAAGCAUCCGUAGCCGGUUCUGCAAGUCUUCCGUUAAAUCCACCUGCUUAACAGAUGGGCUGCGGAAGAUACUAUAGAGCUAGGAGGCGGGAGGGGCAAGCGGUACUCGAUGGGUAGGGGUAAAAUCCGUUGAUCCAUUGAAGACCACCAGUGGCGAAGGCGGCUUGCCAGAACGCGCUCGACGGUGAGGGAUGAAAGCUGGGGGAGCAAACCGGAUUAGAUACCCGGGUAGUCCCAGCUGUAAACGAUGCAGACUCGGUGAUGAAUUGGCUUUAUGCCAAUUCAGUGCCGCAGGAAAGCCGUUAAGUUUGCCGCCUGGGGAGUACGGUCGCAAGACUGAAACUUAAAGGAAUUGGCGGGGGAGCAC